RNAcentral lists this ribosomal RNA (776 nucleotides) under uncultured Neocallimastigales. Its description in RNAcentral is "partial large subunit ribosomal RNA". It matches the Rfam family "Eukaryotic large subunit ribosomal RNA", at positions 23 to 620 of the family's 3401-position model. Lineage: Eukaryota; Fungi; Neocallimastigomycota; Neocallimastigomycetes; Neocallimastigales. The record is from RNAcentral.
AGAGAGAGACAUGCGCGCAUAUCAAUAAGCGGAGGAAAAGAAACUAACAAGGAUUCCCUUAGUAACGGCGAGUGAAGCGGGAAGAGCUCAAAUUUGAAAUCUUCAAGGUUUUACCUUGACGAAUUGUAGUUUAAAGAAGUGUUUUCUGCUGAAGUUUUGGUAAAAGUUCUUUGGAAUAGGACAUCAUAGAGGGUGAGAAUCCCGUAUUUGACCAUUAUUUUCAGCUUUGUGAUACACUUUCAAAGAGUCGGAUUGUUUGGGAAUGCUGUCCAAAAUGGGUGGUAAAUUUCAUCUAAAGCUAAAUAUUGGCGAGAGACCGAUAGCGAACAAGUACCGUGAGGGAAAGAUGAAAAGAACUUUGAAAAGAGAGUUAAACAGUACGUGAAAUUGUCAAAAGGGAAGCGUUUGACACCAGUGUUGUUUUCUCGAAAAUCAAUUAAAAAUGGCUCGAUUUUGUAUUGCUUGAGACCUUAAAAGCUCACUGUACAUUUUUCGUGUCUUUUUUAAUGCACUUUUCGUUUAACAAGUCAACAUCAGUUUCUUUUGUUGUAAAAGGGUCAUUGGAAGGUGGCUUUCUUUUCGGAGAAAGUGUUUAUAGCCUUUGGCCUCUGCAAUCGAAGAGACUGAGGUCUGCAGCGUAGACUCUUCGGGGUUAGAUACAUUUGUGCUAAGUUAUAGCCUUUUCAUAGACAACUUGUUGACUAUAAUCAGUCAUGUAGCUUACUCGCUUAUGCUAUUUUACCUACGCUUAGGAUGUUGAAGAUGUAGCACAUCAU